AUAUCUCUCUGUACGGGAAGGAUGAGAAGCUUCUACCAGGGUUCGAUUCGAGCGCAGCGAGAAAGCGUUGCCGCAGGCAA
Molecule: small RNA, 80 nt
Filed under: Salmonella enterica subsp. enterica serovar Heidelberg
Lineage: Bacteria; Pseudomonadati; Pseudomonadota; Gammaproteobacteria; Enterobacterales; Enterobacteriaceae
Also listed under: 5 other names
Description: partial RtT sRNA
Rfam family: RtT RNA
About the family: This family represents a bacterial cis-regulatory element known as RtT RNA. The exact function of RtT is unknown although it is thought that it may be involved in changing the cellular response in relation to amino acid starvation.
Source: RNAcentral